AUGGCCGGGCUGAGCGGCGCGCAGAUCCCCGAUGGGGAGUUCACCGCCGUCGUGUACCGCCUCAUCCGCGAUUCCCGCUACGCCGAGGCGGUGCAGCUGCUGGGCGGCGAGCUCCAGCGGAGCCCGAGGAGCCGCGCCGGCCUGUCGCUGCUGGGCUACUGCUACUACCGCCUGCAGGAGUUCGCGCUGGCCGCCGAGUGCUAUGAGCAGCUGGGCCAGCUGCACCCCGAACUGGAGCAGUACCGCCUGUACCAGGCCCAGGCCCUGUACAAGGCCUGCCUUUACCCAGAGGCCACCCGGGUGGCCUUCCUCCUGCUGGACAACCCCGCCUACCACAGCCGGGUCCUCCGUCUGCAAGCCGCGAUCAAGUACAGCGAGGGCGACCUGCCCGGGGCCAAGAGCCUGGUGGAGCAGCUGCUGAGUGGGGAGGGGGGAGAGGACAGCGGGGGCGAGAACGAGCCCGACGGCCAGGUCAACCUGGGUUGUUUGCUCUACAAGGAGGGCCAGUAUGAAGCCGCGUGCGCCAAGUUCUUUGCGGCCCUCCAGGCUUCGGGCUACCGGCCUGACCUUUCCUACAACCUGGCUUUGGCCUACUACAGCCGCCGGCACUAUGCCCCGGCGCUCAAGUACAUCGCCGACAUCAUUGAGCGUGGCAUCCGCCAGCACCCGGAGCUAGGUGUGGGCAUGACCACGGAGGGCAUUGACGUUCGAAGCGUUGGCAACACCUUAGUCCUUCACCAGACUGCCCUGGUGGAAGCCUUCAACCUCAAGGCAGCCAUCGAGUACCAACUGAGAAACUAUGAGGCGGCCCAGGAGGCCCUCACUGACAUGCCACCUCGGGCAGAAGAAGAGUUAGACCCCGUGACCCUGCACAACCAGGCGCUCAUGAACAUGGAUGCCAGGCCUACGGAGGGGUUUGAAAAGCUACAGUUUUUGCUCCAACAGAACCCCUUUCCCCAGAGACCUUUGGCAACCUGCUGUUGCUCUACUGCAAGUAUGAGUAUUUUGACCUGGCAGCCGAUGUCCUGGCAGAGAACGCCCAUUUGACCUACAGGUUGCUCACACCCUAUCUCUAUGACUUCCUGGAUGCCAUGAUCACUUGCCAGACAGCCCCCGAAGAGGCUUUCAUCAAGCUUGAUGGGCUAGCGGGGAUGCUGACCGAACAGCUCCGGAGACUCACCAUACAAGUACAGGAAGCAAGACACAACAGGGAUGACGAAGCUGUCAAAAAGACAGUGAAUGAGUACGAUGACACUCUGGAGAAGUAUAUUCCCGUGUUGAUGGCCCAGGCAAAGAUCUACUGGAACCUGGAGAAUUAUCCAAUGGUGGAAAAGAUCUUCCGCAAAUCUGUGGAAUUCUGUAACGACCAUGAUGAUGUGUGGAAGCUGAAUGUGGCUCACGUCCUGUUCAUGCAGGAAAACAAAUACAAAGAAGCUAUCGGUUUCUAUGAACCCAUAGUCAAGAAGCAUUAUGACAACAUCCUGAACGUCAGUGCUAUUGUGCUGGCUAACCUGUGUGUUUCAUACAUUAUGACAAGUCAGAAUGAAGAAGCUGAGGAGUUGAUGAGAAAGAUCGAAAAGGAGGAGGAGCAGCUGUCCUAUGAUGACCCAGAUAAGAAAAUCUACCACCUCUGCAUUGUGAAUUUGGUGAUAGGGACCCUCUAUUGUACCAAAGGAAAUUAUGACUUUGGUAUUUCUCGGGUUAUCAAAAGCCUGGAACCUUACCAUAAGAAACUGGGAACUGAUACCUGGUUUUAUGCCAAAAGAUGUUUCCUGUCCUUAUUAGAAAACAUGUGAUCGUGCUUCGUGACAGUGUUGUGUGUCCAGUUUCUAGAACAAUGUGAACUUUGUGGCAGGAACAUACCUGCCAUUACUGAACAACCCCUGGAAGAAGAAAGAAUGCAUACUGGAAAGAAUACAGUCACCUAUGAAUCCAGACAGUUAAAAGCUUUGAUUUACAGAGGGGGAGAUGAACCAUGAGAGACAAUG
RNA transcript from Zalophus californianus (California sea lion), 1988 nucleotides. It is a transcript of the gene named tetratricopeptide repeat protein 30B-like, with no coding region annotated. Lineage: Eukaryota; Metazoa; Chordata; Mammalia; Carnivora; Otariidae. The record is from RefSeq and is a predicted model, not a curated record. The transcript has a single exon.